CCGCGAUUCGCCCUUCGGGGUGCAGCAGGCGCGAAAACUUCACAAUGGGAGAAAUCCCGAUGAGGGAAUUCCAAGUGCUAGCACUAUGUGUUAGCUGUUCUUUUGUCUAAAAAACAGAAGAAGUAAGGGCCGGGUAAGACGGGUGCCAGCCGCCGCGGUAAUACCCGCGGCCCGAGUGGUGGUCGAUAUUAUUGAGCCUAAAACGUCCGUAGCCGGUCUUGUAAAUCCUUGGGUAAAUCGGCCAGCUUAACUGUCCGAAGUCCGGGGAGACUGCAAGACUUGGGAUCGGGAGAGGUCAGAGGUACUUCUGGGGUAGGGGUAAAAUCCUGUAAUCCUGGAAGGACCACCGGUGGCGAAGGCGUCUGACUAGAACGAAUUCGACGGUGAGGGACGAAGCCCUGGGGCGCAAACGGGAUUAGAUACCCCGGUAGUCCAGGGUGUAAACGCUGCGGGCUUGGUGUUGGGGGUCCUUUGUGGGCGCCCAGUGCCGGAGAGAAGUUGUUAAGCCUGCUGCUUGGGGAGUACGUCCGCAAGGAUGAAACUUAAAGGAAUUGGCGGGGGAGCAC
RNAcentral lists this ribosomal RNA (566 nucleotides) under uncultured archaeon. RNAcentral's name for it is "bacterial SSU rRNA". It matches the Rfam family "Archaeal small subunit ribosomal RNA", at positions 311 to 879 of the family's 1478-position model. The record is from RNAcentral.